AGGACGAACGCUGGCGGCGUGCUUCACACAUGCAAGUCGAGCGAGGCCCUUCCUUCGGGAAGGUGCCCUAGCGGCGAACGGGUGAGUAACACGUGGGCAACCUGCCCCUGACUCUGGGAUAAGCCCGGGAAACCGGGUCUAAUACCGGAUACGAACCCACCAGGCAUCUGGUGGGUUGGAAAGAUUUAUCGGUCAGGGAUGGGCCCGCGGCCUAUCAGCUUGUUGGUGGGGUAAUGGCCCACCAAGGCGACGACGGGUA
This 259-nucleotide ribosomal RNA is filed under the name uncultured bacterium. RNAcentral's name for it is "partial small subunit ribosomal RNA". It matches the Rfam family "Bacterial small subunit ribosomal RNA", at positions 26 to 285 of the family's 1533-position model. The record is from RNAcentral.